This 480-nucleotide long non-coding RNA is filed under the name Capsicum annuum. Its description in RNAcentral is "long non-coding RNA (CANN_LNC019473)". Lineage: Eukaryota; Viridiplantae; Streptophyta; Magnoliopsida; Solanales; Solanaceae. The record is from RNAcentral.
AAGAAGGCAAUCAACACACAAUUAUUAAUUUGGUAAGAAAGAUACAAUAUCUUAAGAUUUCAGUGGGAUAAGAAGUUGCUCAUACCUAUGGAGACUGUUAAUGGAUCUUUAAAUUUUUUGACUUUAGGCAGUGGUAUUAUCUCCCUAGAGGGUUCAAUCUAUCAAGGAAGAAAAAGUAAAUAAAUACUAAUAGUUGAAAUCGAUCAAAUUUUGACUUGUUAAAGCUGACGAAGACUUAUCUUGGACAAGGAAAGCUAGAUCUAUGGUGAAUUAAGUUGAAGAAGUCUUUGAUUGGAAUUAUUUUAUGGAAAUUGUGAGAAGUUAAAAUGCCCAAAAUGAAAUCACCCAAAGCUCGAACUCAUCUUGAAAAUCGAUGCUUUCUGAUGUCCAUAGCAGAGCUUCUUAUCAAAUUCUCUAGAUCUUCGAUCUACAUUGAUAUUGAAGAUGGUAGAUUGAAAUGGAGAAAAUGAAGCAUCUAAA